GCUGGAAAUGAUCUUAAUGGAAGCCUCACUUACAGAUAUGACUUGGUUGACCUAACACGGCAAGUUCUGUCAAAGCUAGCAAAUCAAGUAUACAUUGAUGCUAUAAUUGCUUUUCAGAAGAAAGAUGCUGAUGCAUUGAAGCUUCAGAGCCAGAAAUUUUUACAACUCAUCGAUGACAUUGAUGUACUUCUUGCUUCUGAUGAUAAUUUUCUACUUGGAACAUGGCUCAAAAGUGCAAAAGAGCUGGGAGUAAAUCCUAUUGAGAUGAGGCAGUAUGAAUGGAAUGCAAGAACACAAGUGACAAUGUGGUUCGACACGACAAAAACCAAUCAGAGCCAACUCCAUGAUUAUGCUAACAAAUUUUGGAGUGGGCUACUAAAAGACUAUUAUCUUCCUCGAGCUUCAACCUAUUUUGAUCAUCUGUUAAAGAGCUUGAAAGAAAAUGAAAACUUCAAGAUUGUGGAAUGGAGGGAAGAAUGGAUAGCAUUCUCAAACAGAUGGCAAGCAAGCACAGAGCUUUAUCCAGUGACGGCCAGAGGAGAUGCUCUUGCUAUUUCUAAAGCAUUGUAUAAAAGAUAUUUUGGUUAACAAUAUGACUGGUUCAUAUAUUUAUGACAAUAAUAAGGUGGGUUCAUGCUAAAUGUUUUUGAAGGUGUAAUUAUCACUGAGCGGGUG
Molecule: unclassified non-coding RNA, 675 nt
Filed under: Hevea brasiliensis (rubber tree)
Lineage: Eukaryota; Viridiplantae; Streptophyta; Magnoliopsida; Malpighiales; Euphorbiaceae
Source: RNAcentral